RNAcentral lists this ribosomal RNA (246 nucleotides) under Vibrio parahaemolyticus. RNAcentral describes it as "partial 16S ribosomal RNA". It matches the Rfam family "Bacterial small subunit ribosomal RNA", at positions 202 to 451 of the family's 1533-position model. Lineage: Bacteria; Pseudomonadati; Pseudomonadota; Gammaproteobacteria; Vibrionales; Vibrionaceae. The record is from RNAcentral.
UCGGGCCUCUCGCGUCAGGAUAUGCCUAGGUGGGAUUAGCUAGUUGGUGAGGUAAGGGCUCACCAAGGCGACGAUCCCUAGCUGGUCUGAGAGGAUGAUCAGCCACACUGGAACUGAGACACGGUCCAGACUCCUACGGGAGGCAGCAGUGGGGAAUAUUGCACAAUGGGCGCAAGCCUGAUGCAGCCAUGCCGCGUGUGUGAAGAAGGCCUUCGGGUUGUAAAGCACUUUCAGUCGUGAGGAAGG